This 441-nucleotide ribosomal RNA is filed under the name uncultured bacterium. Its description in RNAcentral is "partial 16S ribosomal RNA". It matches the Rfam family "Bacterial small subunit ribosomal RNA", at positions 339 to 795 of the family's 1533-position model. The record is from RNAcentral.
CUACGGGGGGCUCCAGUGAGGAAUAUUGCACAAUGGGGGGAACCCUGAUGCAGCAACGCCGCGUGGAGGAUGACGCAUUUCGGUGUGUAAACUCCUUUUAUAUGUCAAGAAAAUGACGGUAGCAUAUGAAUAAGCACCGGCUAACUCCGUGCCAGCAGCCGCGAUGUAGAUACGGAGGGUGCAAGCGUUACUCGGAAUCACUGGGCGUAAAGGACGCGUAGGCGGGUUGGAAAGUCAGGUGUGAAAUCCUACAGCUUAACUGUAGAACUGCACUUGAAACUUCUAAUCUAGAGUAUGGGAGGGGAGAUGGAAUUAGUGGUGUAGGGGUAAAAUCCGUAGAUAUCACUAGGAAUACCUAAAGCGAAGGCGAUCUCCUGGAACAUUACUGACGCUAAGGCGUGAAAGCGUGGGGAGCAAACAGGAUUAGAUACCCUAGUAGUC